Molecule: ribosomal RNA, 224 nt
Filed under: uncultured eukaryote
Lineage: Eukaryota
Description: partial 18S ribosomal RNA
Rfam family: Eukaryotic small subunit ribosomal RNA
Source: RNAcentral
UCGUGGAAUGAUUUGUCUGGUUAAUUCCGAUAACGAACGUGACUCAAUCAUAUUAAAUAGAUACCUAUCAGCAGUUGAGAUGCCGAAGCCGUAAUAUUGGUAGCAAUAUUGGUAUUAUGGUGGAGUCUCACCUGAUAGUUUGUCUUGUGCUCCUUGUGGGUGCUUGACUUGAAUCUGCUUAAUAGGACAAUUUGUGUUUAGCAAAAUGAGAUUGAGCAAUAACA